GUACAGUUCAUGUCUUUUCUUUAUUUGAAAAACAGUGGAAAACUGCUCAUUUUCUGGAUAGAAAAGGUUUUACUUUAUUUUGAAAUAGCGCUUGGCUUUGCAGUUCCUUUUCACUUUGUGUUGGGUCACUGAGUUGCUCCACUAGUUAAAGCUAAAUGUUAAAGAGCACAAUCCAGGGAAAACAAUAACACUAAGGACAUCUGAUCUAAUAAUAACUCCAGCUUUAGGAACAUGCAAAAAGUAUCAAAUCAAUAAAGCGAUUCUAUUCUACCCCACCAUGAAAUCAAAUGAAAGAAUUUUGCAACAUUUAUUAUUAACGAACCACCAGACAAGAGCAAAAAUUCAUACCAGAUUUACCUUAUAGCACUAAAACCACUACUAAAAGAAAAAAAGUGAACACCACCCACAGUACAAAAUUAAAAAAUAAAAAAUAAAAAAUAAAACCGAAUUAGUAGCGUAUAAUAUACAAAAUAACCGAGGUAGAGAACAAGCUCUGAAACUGGAAACAAAUAUGCUGAUAAAUUCGGAAGUAUUUUUC
Molecule: long non-coding RNA, 538 nt
Organism: Populus euphratica (Euphrates poplar)
Lineage: Eukaryota; Viridiplantae; Streptophyta; Magnoliopsida; Malpighiales; Salicaceae
Exons: 3
Source: RefSeq, a predicted model, not a curated record